GACGAACGCUGGCGGCGUGCUUAACACAUGCAAGUCGAACGGUGACGAGGAGCUUGCUCCUCUGAUCAGUGGCGAACGGGUGAGUAACACGUGAGCAACCUGCCCAGACUCUGGGAUAACAGUUGGAAACAGCUGCUAAUACCGGAUACGAGACGGAGAGGCAUCUCUAACCGUCUGGAAAGUUUUUCGGUCUGGGAUGGACUCGCGGCCUAUCAGCUAGUUGGUGAGGUAAUGGCUCACCAAGGCGACGACGGGUAGCCGGCCUGAGAGGGCGACCGGCCACACUGGGACUGAGACACGGCCCAGACUCCUACGGGAGGCAGCAGUGGGGAAUAUUGCACAAUGGGCGAAAGCCUGAUGCAGCGACGCCGCGUGAGGGAUGAAGGCCUCGGUUGUAAACCUCUUCAGCAGGGAAGAAGCGAAAGUGACGGUACCUGCAGAAGAAGCACCGGCUAACUACGUGCCAGCAGCCGCGGUAA
This 479-nucleotide ribosomal RNA is filed under the name uncultured bacterium. Its description in RNAcentral is "bacterial SSU rRNA". It matches the Rfam family "Bacterial small subunit ribosomal RNA", at positions 28 to 523 of the family's 1533-position model. The record is from RNAcentral.